RNAcentral lists this ribosomal RNA (525 nucleotides) under Alternaria tenuissima. RNAcentral describes it as "eukaryotic LSU rRNA". The stretch from base 150 to 303 matches the Rfam family "5.8S ribosomal RNA". The record is from RNAcentral. Lineage: Eukaryota; Fungi; Ascomycota; Dothideomycetes; Pleosporales; Pleosporaceae.
GGGCUGGACCUCUCGGGGUUACAGCCUUGCUGAAUUAUUCACCCUUGUCUUUUGCGUACUUCUUGUUUCCUUGGUGGGUUCGCCCACCACUAGGACAAACAUAAACCUUUUGUAAUUGCAAUCAGCGUCAGUAACAAAUUAAUAAUUACAACUUUCAACAACGGAUCUCUUGGUUCUGGCAUCGAUGAAGAACGCAGCGAAAUGCGAUAAGUAGUGUGAAUUGCAGAAUUCAGUGAAUCAUCGAAUCUUUGAACGCACAUUGCGCCCUUUGGUAUUCCAAAGGGCAUGCCUGUUCGAGCGUCAUUUGUACCCUCAAGCUUUGCUUGGUGUUGGGCGUCUUGUCUCUAGCUUUGCUGGAGACUCGCCUUAAAGUAAUUGGCAGCCGGCCUACUGGUUUCGGAGCGCAGCACAAGUCGCACUCUCUAUCAGCAAAGGUCUAGCAUCCAUUAAGCCUUUUUUCAACUUUUGACCUCGGAUCAGGUAGGGAUACCCGCUGAACUUAAGCAUAUCAAAAACCGGGAGGAA